UAUUGAUGACAUUUACUGGUAAAUCUACUCAUUUUAUUCACAGAGAGAUUUGCUAUGCCCGCCAAGAGGGUCAUUUCAAAUUUAAAAGAAAUUAUGCAUUCGAGCAACAAUGAUAGCAGAAUAAGUCAUUUUCUGAAAGGAAAAAAAUACCACGCUCAAGGGUCGAUGGCACUUCAAAUGGACAGACCACAUCAAGUGCAGACUUGGAAUUAAGAAUUAAGCAUCCAGUUAGAUCAUUCUCAUGCAUAUGAAAGCCACAAGUCUUCAGUUUACUCUUUUAAGUAUGAAUUCUUUCUUCAAGAAAGCCAUGUUUCUACAUAAACUAAUUCUAUGUCGUAGCAAAUUUAAAAACAGAAAGCAAACUGAUAUGAAUUGCAUGGUUUAUCAUGAAUGUUCUUUUGCCCUGUGCUAUAGUUUAACUAAAAAAAAUCUUGAAUUUGAUAGUAAACUACGACACAGGACAUGUAACAAUCCAAAUGGAUUCUUAACGCAUAAAAAGUCCAUGAACCAGAUGAACACAAACUAGAUAAUCGUAAAAAAAAACUAAAGUGUCAACCAAAAGUCAUAUACUAUAGAAGAUCUUUUCACAUUCACAUGGUCCUUUAAAUUAAGUAGGCAAUAUCAACUCAUGGAAAUCCCUGUACCUGCACAAUCUCAUAUUGUGAGUAGACAAGUAACAAUGGAAUUGAUUAGUAAAAAAAUCAUUAAAAAGUUUGAGCCAACGCACAUAAAAGAUAUUUACUUACAAUCAUAAACCUCGACAACCAAGAAAAAUUUCUGUAGCUCAUCUGCACUCUUUACAUCAUUCCAUAAAUAAAAACAGAAUAAACACCCGAU
RNAcentral lists this long non-coding RNA (837 nucleotides) under Olea europaea subsp. europaea. The record is from RNAcentral. Lineage: Eukaryota; Viridiplantae; Streptophyta; Magnoliopsida; Lamiales; Oleaceae.